AACGAACGUUAGCGGCGCGCUUAACACAUGCAAGUCGCACGAGAAAGGGCUUCGGCCCCGGUACAGUGGCGCACGGGUGAGUAACACGUAGGUAAUCUACCUUCGAGUGGUGGAUAACUCUCCGAAAGGGGUGCUAAUACAGCAUAAGACCACGACUUUCCGAAGUUGCGGUCAAAGGGGGCCAAUCCUUGGAAGCUCCCGCUUGAAGAUGAGCCUGCGGCCCAUCAGCUAGUUGGUGGUGUAAUGGACCACCAAGGCUAAGACGGGUAGCUGGUCUGAGAGGAUGAACAGCCACACUGGAACUGAGACACGGUCCAGACUCCUACGGGAGGCAGCAGUGGGGAAUCUUGCGCAAUGGGCGAAAGCCUGACGCAGCGACGCCGCGUGAGCGAUGAAGGCCUUCGGGUUGUAAAGCUCUGUGGAUGGGGAAGAUAAGUGCCAGCUAAUAUCUUGCAUGAUGACGGUACCCAUUUUA
RNAcentral lists this ribosomal RNA (475 nucleotides) under uncultured bacterium. RNAcentral's name for it is "bacterial SSU rRNA". It matches the Rfam family "Bacterial small subunit ribosomal RNA", at positions 29 to 486 of the family's 1533-position model. The record is from RNAcentral.